GCUCCCAACGCGACCCCAGGUCAGGCGGGACUACCCGCUGAGUU
This 44-nucleotide ribosomal RNA is filed under the name Fagus crenata (Japanese beech). RNAcentral's name for it is "partial 25S ribosomal RNA". The record is from RNAcentral. RNAcentral also lists the same sequence under 9 other names. Lineage: Eukaryota; Viridiplantae; Streptophyta; Magnoliopsida; Fagales; Fagaceae.